This 1175-nucleotide ribosomal RNA is filed under the name Escherichia coli. RNAcentral describes it as "partial 23S ribosomal RNA". It matches the Rfam family "Bacterial large subunit ribosomal RNA", at positions 347 to 1529 of the family's 2925-position model. The record is from RNAcentral. Lineage: Bacteria; Pseudomonadati; Pseudomonadota; Gammaproteobacteria; Enterobacterales; Enterobacteriaceae.
AAGGCGCGCGAUACAGGGUGACAGCCCCGUACACAAAAAUGCACAUGCUGUGAGCUCGAUGAGUAGGGCGGGACACGUGGUAUCCUGUCUGAAUAUGGGGGGACCAUCCUCCAAGGCUAAAUACUCCUGACUGACCGAUAGUGAACCAGUACCGUGAGGGAAAGGCGAAAAGAACCCCGGCGAGGGGAGUGAAAAAGAACCUGAAACCGUGUACGUACAAGCAGUGGGAGCACGCUUAGGCGUGUGACUGCGUACCUUUUGUAUAAUGGGUCAGCGACUUAUAUUCUGUAGCAAGGUUAACCGAAUAGGGGAGCCGAAGGGAAACCGAGUCUUAACUGGGCGUUAAGUUGCAGGGUAUAGACCCGAAACCCGGUGAUCUAGCCAUGGGCAGGUUGAAGGUUGGGUAACACUAACUGGAGGACCGAACCGACUAAUGUUGAAAAAUUAGCGGAUGACUUGUGGCUGGGGGUGAAAGGCCAAUCAAACCGGGAGAUAGCUGGUUCUCCCCGAAAGCUAUUUAGGUAGCGCCUCGUGAAUUCAUCUCCGGGGGUAGAGCACUGUUUCGGCAAGGGGGUCAUCCCGACUUACCAACCCGAUGCAAACUGCGAAUACCGGAGAAUGUUAUCACGGGAGACACACGGCGGGUGCUAACGUCCGUCGUGAAGAGGGAAACAACCCAGACCGCCAGCUAAGGUCCCAAAGUCAUGGUUAAGUGGGAAACGAUGUGGGAAGGCCCAGACAGCCAGGAUGUUGGCUUAGAAGCAGCCAUCAUUUAAAGAAAGCGUAAUAGCUCACUGGUCGAGUCGGCCUGCGCGGAAGAUGUAACGGGGCUAAACCAUGCACCGAAGCUGCGGCAGCGACGCUGAUGCGUUGUUGGGUAGGGGAGCGUUCUGUAAGCCUGCGAAGGUGUGCUGUGAGGCAUGCUGGAGGUAUCAGAAGUGCGAAUGCUGACAUAAGUAACGAUAAAGCGGGUGAAAAGCCCGCUCGCCGGAAGACCAAGGGUUCCUGUCCAACGUUAAUCGGGGCAGGGUGAGUCGACCCCUAAGGCGAGGCCGAAAGGCGUAGUCGAUGGGAAACAGGUUAAUAUUCCUGUACUUGGUGUUACUGCGAAGGGGGGACGGAGAAGGCUAUGUUGGCCGGGCGACGGUUGUCCCGGUUUAAGCGUGUAGGCUGGU